AGGAAUGUGAAGAGAGGUCACCAGAUGACAAGGAACCUGGGGACAAGGGUCGGGGUGGCUGAGAAGCAUCUCCUCCCCUGAGAGCCUCAGGUGCCACCCUACCAAACCUCUUGCUUCUCAGCAACCUCUGUUCCAUGCCUACUUCUUGCAGAGGCCUGAGUGUAAGUGGAAACAUCAUUCACUCCUUUCCUUCAUUCAAUAAAGGCCAACGAAGCACCUUACAUGUGGCAGCUAACAGUGUGCUGGGGCUGUGCAUGGAAACAAACUGGACAAGGUCCCUAGUCCUGCACAUUCUGGUCAGGAGAUGAGAAAGUCAAUAGCGUCUCAGAGUGUGCCCCACAGGAAACAAGCACAGUGAUGUGCGAGGACUGGCCAGGAGGAGGGGCUACAUCGGGGCCUCGGAAAGACCUUGGAAAGAGGUGUCACUUGAGCAGACUGAAAAAUGAGAAUGAGCCAGCAGCCACGGGAAGAGCCGGAGAUAGAACAUUUCAGGCAGAGGCAAUGGCAGAGAGAAAGGGCUUACGAAUUAAAUGAAGACAAGGGAGGCCAGGCUGGCUGGCGAUGAGCAGAGGAACAGUAAGAGAUAAGCAAAGAAAAGGCUGGCUUAGGGGCCCAACUUCCCUGGAGCCCGCUGUUAUCCACCCUCCAAGCCUGGACACCAAUUCCCAACAGUCCCAGAACCUUUCCCUGGGCUGCACCUCUUGGCUGCUUUGCUUCCUGAUGCCACCUCCAUCCUGCCCCAUCGUCACGUGCCUGAAACAAAGCUCCAUUUGUCCCAUGGAAGGGAGGCAGCACAAGAACUGGAUACUCCAGCCAGAAUCAGAAACAACCUUAAAUCCACAGAGCAGAGGCUGGGCAAGACGUAAGAGGGCUCUGAGAAGUCAGAGUUACUGUUGAGUCACUGCAAGAUCACAGCUCAACCUGAAAUCCCCAGGCAGCACAGAAGGGCUGUCCAAGCCUUGUCAGAGAGCAGAAGACAGCGAGGACCACAGUACCACUGGUGCCUGCUAUGCUGGAGUGGUGGCAGAAAACCACAUCCCUCUCUGCCCACAGCAGCCAUCAGACUGUGCCUCCCCAAAAGCUGCAGGCAGAAAUGAUACACGGCAACAGCUGGCUCUUCACUCCUCAGAGAGACUUAUUCCACUUUGGGACGGUGCACGAGGAGGUGAGAAAAUACAGGAACAACUUGCAUGCUUCUUGGACAAAUGAGCUAGAGCAAGGGACAGGGGUUGUAUGAGGUAAAGUUGGGGCUGGGGCAUCUUCCUUAACUGCUCACCUCAUUUCUGGAUCUCUGGCUCUGAUUCCCCACUUCCCCAGCUCUGCUUCAGCUCUGGAUGACUGUGGGUUACAAAGCUGUCAUUUCCCCAGUGGUAGGGGAUAAGGCCUCCCCCUCCAAGCUAUUUUGCUAUUUGAGGGCUCUCACUCCUAUUCCUCCGGCUGUGGCCAGUUCUGCAUGGCUACAUAGCAAAUGCCCCAUUCCUAGGAAGGCAGCGUCUCUGUGGGUCUGAACAUGGCUGCUGUCCCCCCAGAAAUGCCACCCCAGCAAGUUGCAAGGAGACAACUAUGAAAAUGAGAGACCAGGUGGCCAUCUCUUUGUAAGACUCCCAUAUUCUGAGAAUCUGGAAGGUUCUCUCUCCGGGGGCCUUUUUUCUAAUGUCCUCCAGCUCAGAGCGCAGGAGCAAGUGAGCACACAGGACACUGCUCUUUUUCCUUCACUGACGGGCCCUGAAACACAAGCUUUAUUUGAGCAGAAUCAAAGCUCCCCACUGAAGAGGAUGAGAGCAGAAUUAAAAUGAAUGUCAAAAAUAAACCCAGCCCACACGAGACCAUCCAUUUUUUGUUGAUCUUUGAGUUUGUGACCACUGUGCUGCUCUACUUGUGGAAGACAAUUCUCUAUGGAGCAAUUGCAUUGUUGGCUUUCUUCUGAGCAAGAGGAAUAGACAGUUACAGACUAUAUUUCCAAGGAUGUUUAUAUACCAAACGGAAGACUGAGACAGUGUCUCCCUCUUGGGCAGAGGCAGAUUUGUUUCCUGACUAGGAAUGAUAAAGAUAAUAUCUCCCUGUAGGACAAAGGUUGGACAGGUUUGCUAGCAGCCUCUGAAAAGACUGGGGUUUCCUAAGCUUGGGAUGCUUAGCUGGGACACAACCCACAGUAUAUCCAGCUUCUACCUGGGACCACAUGGCCCCAUGAGACCUGUGAGCAAGAGGAGCCAGUGGAAACCUGAGGACAUGAAGCAUAGUCUUGGAUCUUCUGCCACCAUCUAUGAAACUGGGGCUGUGGAACUUGUUGGCUUGCAUUAUAGACUGAAUUCUGUCCCCUCAAAAUUCAUAUGGUGAGGGCUAGGGAUUAGGUCAGUGGUAGAAUGCUUGUCUAACAUGUACAAGGCCCUGGGUUCCAUCUCCAGCACAACAAAAAAUAAAAAUCAAAAUCAUGUGGUAGAACCUAAUCCCCAAUGUAUUAGCGCUGGUAGGUGGGGCUGUUAGAAGGUAACUAGGUCAAGAGGGCAAGAGGGCAGAAGCCUCAGGAAUGAGAUUAAUGCUGUUAUAAAAGGGACCCCAGGGCCGGGGAUUUACCUCAGUGGUUCCAGUGCCUGCCUCUCAAGUGCAAGGUCCUGAGUUCGAUCCCCGGUACCAAAAGAAAAAACAGGGACUCCAGAGAAUUCCCUUGCCCCUUCAGCCACGUGAGGACACUGGGAGAUGAUGGAUGUCUCUGACUCAGGAAACAGGCCCUCCUCACCAGACAAUGAAUCUGCCAGUGUCUUAUUCUUAGCUCAAUCCUAACAAUAACCUUUGAAGUAGUGUAACUGUUGAGGGUGUUGUUCCUAUUAUCACACCACCAUAUCAUCAUUGUAUAUGGAAAAGAAAACCCCAGAGAUCUCCUAACAGUUAAGUGACUUGCCUAAGGACACACAGACACACACCCAAGUAAGUAAGGAACAGUGCUUGUUGGGCUGUCCCACCUGAAAAUAGAGGAAAGAAGCGAUGCAGUUUCCCCCUUCACAUGUUCUCAAGCCCCUUUGGAUUUCAGUUCACCCAAGGGCCAGCCUUCAUUCACUCAGCUACUCUGACGUGCUAAGGUGCUUCUUGAGGCCCUUUCUAGCAAACGUUCCCCAAAUGGGACCCCACCUGCCCAAAAGAACAAGGCGCACCUGUGAGUGCCUCCUUGGGUUCCUGUUCUUCUGCAGCCCCCAGAGAUGGCCCAACCCACCACCUCCACCACUGCUUACCCACAAUAUCUUCAUAGGCAUUCUCUUCUAAAGUGCUUUUGGAUCCAAACUUAGGCUGGCUCUCAGUACCAUUCUCAGUGGGAGAAGAGGGGUACAGGGACUGGAGACUGGAUGCAUCCUCAAACUCAAAGGAUUUUCUGUGGAUAACAAGAGCAUGAGUCAUUCUGCCUGAGCCAGAUCUCUGCUGCUUUGCUGCAGAACAGCGUGGCACCAACAGCAAAGACCAAAGCCCCUCCUCAUAAAACCAGCUACUGAGAAAAGCAGCAAGGUAGAUUCAAACUUACCAUCCAAACAAGGUGACAGAUGGCCAGAAAGGCCCCAGCCUGGGUGUCUGCAUGGAGUCUUAUCCCUAAUAAUACCAAUAUUAGGUAACAAUAACCACCACAAAGCAUGCUAUGUGUCAGGUGCUGAGUCCAAUGCACCUUUACAUGUAUCAUCUCCUUAACCUUCACAAUAGUGUUAGCAGUUAUUGUGCCAUUUUACAAAUGAAGAGACUGAAUUGACAGAGGCAAGACUUGCCCAGGCUGCCUGCCUCCAGAGCCUGAGCUUUAAACCACAUCACUGGCCUCCCAACCCUGGAAAAUACCCUCCUUGGGAGGAGUCUGCCAUUCCCACAGGAACGGAGUGCCUGCCCUGCCCCCUAGCAAGGACUCUGCUACUGCACUGGUCAGGCAGUGAGGACUCCACGCUGGAAGGACAUGCGCAACGGCACUGCAGGGGCUGGGGAAGCAGCUGGCACAGGGUGCUUUGUUGAAAAGGAAGGAGUCAAGACCUCUUCUGAGCUAGAGCUAGGAAAACAAUCUGCAGUGUCUUCCCUCCAGCUAGCUCCCUGCUCCUUCCCAUCCCCAGAUAACCUUUCCUCCACUGCAGAAUUUCAAUCACAGGUGGCUGAGUCCUGAGGCCUGGCUCCCAUUUACUGAGACCACAGCACUGCUAUUUUGCUGCAUCCUGUCCUUCUCCAAGGCUCCUGGGAGGAAGACAAGGAGGAACACUAACAGACUCCCUCCUCUCAUCCAUGAACACUUCCCUCUUCCGGUGAUGUCCUUUCUCUCUCCGCUUACCAAACAACUCUUCCUGAGAGUACUGGCGUGCAAGUCACGGACUGAAAAUAUCCUAAAAGCCCCGUCAUGCUCUUAGCUUGCGGCAUUCAACACAACACCACACGCUAAGGCUGGCAUUCUCCUCCACUGCCUCCUAGGUUUCAGCUACUUCUGUACCAAUUAUGUUUCAGGCUCUCUGGAAGAAUUCUCCUUUUUCUACUUGCCUUUAAAUGCCAGCAUCUCUCAGACUUCUGCCUUCAGAAUAUUUUUUUUAACUCUGUACCUUCUAGCAGCCAAAUACCCAUGGGCUAUCACUGUACCUACCACUUGCAUCUUGAUGACUCACAAAUUUGUCUUUGGCCUAGACUUCUCAACUAGUUAAAUAAACACCCAAUGGCCUAG
This is a non-coding RNA of Heterocephalus glaber (naked mole-rat), 4669 nucleotides long. NCBI's taxonomy places the organism in Eukaryota, Metazoa, Chordata, Mammalia, Rodentia, Bathyergidae. The record is from RefSeq and is a predicted model, not a curated record.